GUGUGAACAACGAAAAUAGAUACUCGUUUUUAUAGCGAGCAUUGGAGGCUACAUACGAGCCCGCAAAAUCGUUCUCACAAUGCACAAGCCAGAUCGAUAUUUAGCCUGUGGGCAAUUCGAAGCAGUCCAAACGUUGCCAAACCACUGCUAUACUCGAACAGUAACAGGUUUUUUCCACACCAGUCCUAGGUCAUUUAGCUUUGGGCCGCCGCAGCGGAGACCUGACCUGCUCACACAACUGGGCUACCGGUAAAUCUUGACCGAGAGAAAUACAGAGAGAAAUCAGGAAAGAAUUCGUAUUCGAAUGCAGCGUAGCUUAUUUCGUUUUCUUACCAGCUGCCGCCACCAUCGCUGCCCUGUUCGAUUCAGCAAGCCGAGAGUGAUGGCUUCAUUUUGCCAGUUUGCCGGUAAGGAAUAGAGAAGCUGAUUAUUCAAAACACGACAGGAGGUGCUGAUGCUCACGGGGUCGAGAAGGUUGUACGUCGUUGUUGCAGACUGUUUUCGCUUGUGCCAAAUACAUUACAAAUGUUAACGGAACAUUCCUGCCCGCUUAACAACAGUUCCUUUGCAACAAUAGUGGAGAUAUUGAGACUUCUAUUCACAACAAACCUUCUCAAAAUGCUUAUUAGCAUUAUAUUUAAAGCGUUUAUUUGUACAUAACACACUCGCUAUACCCGUAAGGUCUAGAAGAUGAAUAGUCUUAUAAUGGUAAAGAAGAAGUACGGUUAUUGCACACAUAGUGUAUCCAUGUAUCUGGCUGCUACUGCAUCGGACUUCAUUGAAACGCGUCCACCAAAGUUGCUCCAAGGUUUCUGGAUUCAUGGGCUCACUUUGUACGGCCAAAACGAACCAAAUUUUUCCCGCUAAUUCGGAGACGUAACAGAACAGCGAUAAAUCAAUAGAAGAAACCAAAUCCGCUGUCUUCGUCACAAAUCUAAAAAGCAUUGUGUUUUUACCGGAUUUGAUUUCUCUAUUUCGGCACAUAUACAGCUGGCAAUUGUCUAAAAUCUAGUUUGCACUUUUCAACAUACUGAUUAUUUUCGUCACGCAGUAAAAAAAUCCGCUCCUACUGCUUAAACUACUUAAAUUCAAUACCUGGCAUUCGAUUAAAUCAAGGCCCCUAGUAAAUUAUUGCUAUAUUAAUGUAAUUUAAUACUCCGUUUGGUUAAGGGCUUAUUCGAAAUCGUCGGCCAUUGUCAUUAGUCCAUUGACUGUACUCACUGUGUCGUAACGGUACUUUUUGAGUAGCUUCUUGAACGGUAGCUUUAUACAAUGCUAUUCAUCAUACCAAAGCCUCAUGGCCGUGGCACUUGCUUGCCUGAGAAGCCACUGGCACCGAGAGCUCCCCUCCUUCCCGCAUACGCAUAGAUAUUCUUGCCCGUUCAGGAAGACGUCUCUCAUUUCAGACUUCCUGUUUAGGUACGUCCUUGCCAAGCUCUGCGUAUAAUCUUCAUGUUGGGUUACCUUAUGCUGGUAUUCAUUGUCUAUUCGUGCACAGUCGAAAAAUAGAAAGGCAUUACUAACUGUUAGCCAACGUUCGAUUCGAACUCGACGGGUUCCGGCACCAAAAGAAACACCAAAAAUAACAUUUGAUGAGUGAAGUAGAAUGCCACGACCGACUAUCGCCAUUGUCCCUGUCGCAGGCGUUAGCAUAGUUGAACAGAGGCGAGUAGGUAUUGCUCCCUUUCUGCGACUAUUUUGCUUGAUACCAUUUACCCUGUCCGCGACUGCAGUUCAAUUCUGCUUGCCAAAAUUAAUCGGGAAUUGUUCGCGCACGCGAGAGAUAACUACCGGAGACGAAGUUCUCCGACAAGAAAAUCUCAUCGGGAAAUGGGCGUUGCCAUUGGCAGCAGCUGGUGGCAGGAACGCAGUCCGUGGGAUUAACUGAUCAGUUUCUGUCAACAUCGUUCAAUCACGUUCGCGACAAUAACAACCCGAGUUGAGUCAUUAUAGAAAAACCAUGGCCAUCAAAUAGUACUACUACCAGUGUCACUUGAAGAAAACAAAGGCCUUACUGAUAUCUCAACUUGGCCACAUUUUCAAAGUCAGGAUUCAUCUUGCUUGGUAGGUACUGCAAGCACGAAGAUGGAGCUUUAAACCAGGAAGGCGGUGCAAAAAAUGCAGCCAGUGAUCGUACCUGUAAAAGAGCACUCACUCUUUACCUCAACAACAACUCGAGCGCUUUUGUGCUGAAAGAUGUCGAAAGUGUCUCGUAACGACAAACAGCUACGUGACGCGCCACGCGCACGCCAGAGGACUUUGCCUCGAUAAUGUUAUAGCAGAAAUAUAAGAAGGCGUGACGAUUAUGAAGAUACUGUUUGCGCCUAUCGGUGGCCAUUCAUUGACCUAACUAGCAAGGUCGUCUGGGGAGUGUCAAGCAUUCGUUAUCGACUUCUAAGAGGCCGCGCGUACCAAUCGGCAUCGACUAUUAACGUUCGCGCUUGGUUCGUCUUAUAUGUUCGACUUAAAAGACAAUACGCUCAUUCUGACUGAAUCUCUCGUAGUCGUCCGAACAGAGGUAGAUAGCCACAAUGAUCGAAUGUCUCUCAACACGACACAAAGCGGACGCUAGAGUAAACCGAACGGUGCUUGUUGUGGUGAUGCCGCUGCUGCUGCCGCCGCCGCCGCCGCCGCCGCCACUGCCAUCGUUAAACAUUCGCGCAUAGUCAGAGAAGACGAAGACCGACUACAAGAGGGUGUGGGUUAACAGGAAACUAUGCCGGUCUGCCUAUUUGCCUGCACCUAUGUGGAUGUGCGUGCCUCGUCGUGACGGAACGUGCUCAUCGAGACAAAUAAAAUAGCAGAAACUCUACGGGAAGAAUGGAAAGAGAGGCUUAGAAGAUCUCGGUCAACAAUAGCAACGGGUAUGAGAACACAUGAUGGCAAUCAUAAAAAUUAAGCAAAGAAGCUAUCCGUAAUGGCAGAGAAUAAUCAAAACAAAAUGGCUAAUAAAACAGUUACUAUUCUUAAUCAAAGUUUAUUGCCACCUUGAUCGGGUAUUCGUAUCGCAAUAAUAAUAAACGUCCAAAAAAUGUUUGUGCCAGUCUCAGCAAUGGGACAACUAUCAACCACCAACAAUCGUACUAGCAACAAACUACGAUAUCUACAGACACAGGUGUUCGACUGGUUAAUAGUAAUCUUUAGUGUGUCAAAGUACGGUAAUAGAAACCUGUGUCGAGUAUUUUGGAACGAAAUUCCUAUUCGUAUUGCUGCAUAACUCCCCUUCUACUCCGAGCUUACAAUCGCCUCUGUGAAAUUUAGGCUGCUGGCAUAAUCGAUUCAUACCCCGAAAUGCCUAACUAUUUUCAAAAGAUUCUCCAAGGUUUUCACGAUCAAAAAAAGUACGACUUCAAGAACAACCCCAAAUAAUUCCUCAGAACACAACCGCUUUAGUCGGAACUCUGUUUUCGAUCGUAGGCAUCGAUCGUAAUCAAUCACCAAGUUCAAGAAAACAACACCCAUAUCUGUUUACUCUAAUGAAAUUUCGAAAUGUCUAGCAAGCUUAGAAUCGUUAGGCUUAGUUAGCAUUUCAAUUUGCGCUCUGAAAAUCGAUAUCCUAGCUGCUCUAUAUGUCAGCCAUUGCCACAGUAAGUAGUCGCGCGCGUGCUGCAAUGCGAAACGGUACAAAUGACUAGUCCUGCCAUAACCUAUACGUGUAGCUUCUGAUUUCCAGUGUGAAAUGAGCGUCCGCCCACGCAACGCAUGUCUUUACCUAAGCUGCCAGUAAUCGGUAGCAUAGGCGCAGCACCUCCGAUUAAAAAGAUGUAAUUUCGACUCGUAAACGGAUCGCUAUAGCCACGGCUGAGUUUUAAUAUUCACAGCUCACGCAAAUUAUAGGUCAACUAAAUGACAUAACUUUCAGCGCUUGCCAUGCCAAGUCAGCCAGACACAUGGCUGGCUAAUGGCCGCAUUCUGAAAAUUACUGAGCUGAAUGGAAUAAAUCCAAGAACUAAAGCCGAUCAUGUCUACUAUUCGAGUACUACUUGAGCGGAUCGUUGCUGAGUGUCUCAAGGUAAAAAAAUUACACUAGUCACAUAUGCGUGAAAUGCCAGCUGCAGCUCUACAGAGCGCGUCUAUGCGUUUAGUGGAAAGAACAGGUGAGCUCUUGCGUAUAGAACGGAAGGCCACAGAUGUAUGUCACAUGGAGGGGACGAUCCGUUACGACGAAAGACGGAACUAAAAGAUCGGAACACUCUAUCGGAUCGCUUCCUCGGCUGGACAGCGAACGCUGUCCAGCCGAAGAAGCGAUCCGAUAGAAUGAAAUUAAAGGUCGAAUCUGAAUUCUCGCUUGACUGCCCCUGCUCGAUCAACAAAGUGCAUGCAUGGUUCUGGCAAAGAAGCAGUGAAAUAAAAUCAAAACGGCAAACUCAUGAAAGCUGCUGAACUCCGCUGUCAAAUCGUAGAGCAUUCGUUCAAAAAUGAAGGAUUUGAGGGAAGUUAUUUAAAACAGAACAAAGCACCACACGAAUGCUUAAGCAUCUAAUCAAUGCUUGUCCUGACGUAACUGCAGUUUUCAGAAUUUAGCAGAUCUGUACCACAGCAGUAAAGGCAGAUCCAAUUUCUAUUGUUUUUUAUGUAGACAAGAACAUCGACGGUCAAAUGUUUGCUUGUCAUUAUAGUAGCCACAUAGAUUUCAUCUUUUUUGCAAUUUACUGAGCUUUUUCUGAAACUUUUGCCAAUAUGUACGCCGCCCAUGUGGUCAGUUUACUCUAGUACUCGUUAAAUUGCCUUCGAAUAUUCCAAGAAUUAUAAUGAAGAAAACAUCUGACGCUUUAGAUACCAUUUAGGUGCUGCCAUUCGACUCUAACGAUGUUUCAUCCGAACAGCGAUAUAGCAGUG
This is an RNA transcript of Varroa destructor (honeybee mite), 4839 nucleotides long. It is a transcript of the gene named gamma-aminobutyric acid receptor-associated protein-like 2, with no coding region annotated. The record is from RefSeq and is a predicted model, not a curated record. NCBI's taxonomy places the organism in Eukaryota, Metazoa, Arthropoda, Arachnida, Mesostigmata, Varroidae.